This 505-nucleotide ribosomal RNA is filed under the name uncultured bacterium. RNAcentral describes it as "partial 16S ribosomal RNA". It matches the Rfam family "Bacterial small subunit ribosomal RNA", at positions 29 to 523 of the family's 1533-position model. The record is from RNAcentral.
AGUGAACGCUGGCGGUAGGCCUAACACAUGCAAGUCGAACGGCAGCACAGGAGAGCUUGCUCUCUGGGUGGCGAGUGGCGGACGGGUGAGGAAUACAUCGGAAUCUACUCUGUCGUGGGGAUAACGUAGGGAAACUUACGCUAAUACCGCAUACGACCUACGGGUGAAAGCAGGGGACCUUCGGGCCUUGCGCGAUUGAAUGAGCAGAUGUCGGAUUAGCUAGUUGGCGGGGUAAAGGCCCACCAAGGCUACGAGCCGUAGCUGGUCUGAGAGGAUGAUCAGCCACACUGGAACUGAGACACGGUCCAGACUCCUACGGGAGGCAGCAGUGGGGAAUAUUGGACAAUGGGCGCAAGCCUGAUCCAGCCAUACCGCGUGGGUGAAGAAGGCCUUCGGGUUGUAAAGCCCUUUUGUUGGGAAAGAAAUCCAGCUGGCUAAUACCCGGUUGGGAUGACGGUACCCAAAGAAUAAGCACCGGCUAACUUCGUGCCAGCAGCCGCCGUAA